UGGGGAAUUUUGGACAAUGGGGGAAACCCUGAUCCAGCCAUCCCGCGUGUGCGAUGAAGGCCUUCGGGUUGUAAAGCACUUUUGGCAGGAAAGAAACGUCGCGGGUUAAUACCCCGCGAAACUGACGGUACCUGCAGAAUAAGCACCGGCUAACUACGUGCCAGCAGCCGCGGUAAUACGUAGGGUGCAAGCGUUAAUCGGAAUUACUGGGCGUAAAGCGUGCGCAGGCGGUUCGGAAAGAAAGAUGUGAAAUCCCAGAGCUUAACUUUGGAACUGCAUUUUUAACUACCGGGCUAGAGUGUGUCAGAGGGAGGUGGAACUCCGCGUGUAGCAGUGAAAUGCGUAGAUAUGCGGAGGAACACCGAUGGCGAAGGCAGCCUCCUGGGGAUAACACUGACGCUCAUGCACGAAAGCGUGGGGAGCAAACAGGAUUAGAUACCCUGGUAGUCCACGCCCUAAACGAUGUCAACUAGCUGUUGGGGGCCUUUCGGGCCUUGGUAGCGCAGCUAACGCGUGAAGUUGACCGCCUGGGGAGUACGGUCGCAAGAUUAAAACUUAAAUGAAUUGACGGGGGUCA
This 577-nucleotide ribosomal RNA is filed under the name uncultured bacterium. RNAcentral describes it as "partial 16S ribosomal RNA". It matches the Rfam family "Bacterial small subunit ribosomal RNA", at positions 355 to 922 of the family's 1533-position model. The record is from RNAcentral.